This 253-nucleotide ribosomal RNA is filed under the name uncultured microorganism. RNAcentral's name for it is "partial 16S ribosomal RNA". It matches the Rfam family "Bacterial small subunit ribosomal RNA", at positions 524 to 776 of the family's 1533-position model. The record is from RNAcentral.
AACGUAGGGGGCGAGCGUUGUCCGGAAUUACUGGGCGUAAAGGGCACGCAGGCGGUCUUGCCAGUCAGGGGUGAAAGCCCGGGGCUCAACCCCGGAACUGCCUCUGAUACUGCAGGACUAGAGACUAGGAGAGGGUGGUGGAAUUCCCAGUGUAGAGGUGAAAUUCGUAGAUAUUGGGAGGAACACCAGAGGCGAAGGCGGCCACCUGGACUAGAUCUGACGCUCAGGUGCGAAAGCGUGGGGAGCAAACAGG